UACAGAGGGUGCAAGCGUUAAUCGGAGUUACUGGGCGUAAAGGGCGCGUAGGCGGUUUAUUGGGUGUGAUGUGAAAGCCUUGGGCUUAACCUGAGAAGUGCAUCGCAAACCAAUAGACUGGAGUAUAUGAGAGGGUGGCGGAAUUUCCGGUGUAGCGGUGAAAUGCGUAGAGAUCGGAAGGAACGUCAAUGGCGAAGGCAGCCACCUGGCAUAAUACUGACGCUGAGGCGCGAGAGCGUGGGGAGCGAACAGG
Molecule: ribosomal RNA, 253 nt
Filed under: uncultured prokaryote
Description: partial 16S ribosomal RNA
Rfam family: Bacterial small subunit ribosomal RNA
Source: RNAcentral